RNAcentral lists this ribosomal RNA (380 nucleotides) under uncultured eukaryote. RNAcentral's name for it is "partial 18S ribosomal RNA". It matches the Rfam family "Eukaryotic small subunit ribosomal RNA", at positions 592 to 976 of the family's 1831-position model. The record is from RNAcentral.
CAAUAGCGUAUAUUAAAGUUGUUGCGGUUAAAAAGCUCGUAGUUGGAUUUCUGUUGAGAACGUCCGGUCCGCACUAUGUGCGUGUAUCUGGUUCGGUCUUGGCAUCCUCUUGAGGAACGUAUCUACGCUUGAUUGCGUGGAGCGGUAUUCAAGACUUUUACUUUGAGGAAAUUAGAGUGUUCACGGCAGGCAAGCGCCUUGAAUACGUUAGCAUGGAAUAAUAAUAUAGGAUCUUGGUUCUAUUUUGUUGGUUUCUAGGGCUAAGGUAAUGAUUAAUAGGGAUAAUUGGGGGCAUUUGUAUUAACGCGUCAGAGGUGGAAUUCUUGGAUUGCGUUACGACAAACUACUGCGAAAGCAUUUGCCAAGGAUGUUUUCAUUGA